RNAcentral lists this ribosomal RNA (490 nucleotides) under uncultured bacterium. RNAcentral's name for it is "partial 16S ribosomal RNA". It matches the Rfam family "Bacterial small subunit ribosomal RNA", at positions 28 to 507 of the family's 1533-position model. The record is from RNAcentral.
GAUGAACGCUAGCUACAGGCUUAACACAUGCAAGUCGCGGGGCAGCAUGGGGGUUGCUUGCAAUCCCCGAUGGCGACCGGCGCACGGGUGAGUAACGCGUAUCCAACCUGCCCUUCACCACGGGAUAACCCGGCGAAAGUCGGACUAAUACCGUAUGUUGUCCAUUGACGGCAUCCGAUUUGGACGAAAGGUUUGGCGGUGAAGGAUGGGGAUGCGUCCGAUUAGCUGGACGGCGGGGUGACGGCCCACCGUGGCGACGAUCGGUAGGGGUUCUGAGAGGAAGGUCCCCCACACUGGAACUGAGACACGGUCUAGACUCCUACGGGAGGCAGCAGUGAGGAAUAUUGGUCAAUGGGCGUAAGCCUGAACCAGCCAAGUAGCGUGCAGGAUGACGGCCCUAUGGGUUGUAAACUGCUUUUAUGCGGGGAUAAAGUGGCCCACGUGUGGGUUUUUGCAGGUACCGCAUGAAUAAGGACCGGCUAAUUCCGUG